RNAcentral lists this transfer RNA (65 nucleotides) under Camelus bactrianus (Bactrian camel). It matches the Rfam family "tRNA". Rfam says of the family: Transfer RNA (tRNA) molecules are approximately 80 nucleotides in length. Their secondary structure includes four short double-helical elements and three loops (D, anti-codon, and T loops). The record is from Rfam by way of RNAcentral. Lineage: Eukaryota; Metazoa; Chordata; Mammalia; Artiodactyla; Camelidae. RNAcentral also lists the same sequence under 2 other names.
GGUAUAGCUCAGUGGCAGAGCAUGUGCUUGGCGUGCACGAGGUCCUGGGUAAAAUUCUCAAUGCC